Molecule: long non-coding RNA, 392 nt
Filed under: Capra hircus (goat)
Lineage: Eukaryota; Metazoa; Chordata; Mammalia; Artiodactyla; Bovidae
Description: lncRNA (ENSCHIG00000004960.1)
Source: RNAcentral
CUGGAACUUUGCCUACGGUUGGGAUUUUCAUACCAUAGAAACUGGCAGAUACUAAUUUUUUUCUAAAGAUCUGUAGUUAAAAAUUUGCCUGAUUUAAAGGUUGUGAGAAGGGGACGACCCAGGAUGAGAUGGCUGGAUGGCAUCAUGGACUCGAUGGAUGGGAUCUUCCCGACCCAGGGAUGGAACCCCAGCCUCCAGGAAACGUCACAGCUGUCCGGUGACUCCUGCUCAGGGAAGCCUUCUCUGUGCCACUAGAGACGUGCUAUGGUGACACUUUGUUUGGGACGGAUAACUCAUCAGAACAUGGUCAGCAUCAACAAUGGGAUUUUGAAAAAAGUUGCAAUGAUAUGACUCUCAUUAUCAGAAUUUUUAUAUCAAAAAUUCAAUUAAAU